AGGAGAGUUUGAUCCUGGCUCAGGAUGAACGCUGGCGGCGUGCUUAACACAUGCAAGUCGAACGAAGCACUGAAGAAUGGAGAUUCGUCAAAGUUCUUCUUUGACUGAGUGGCGAACGGGUGAGUAAUGCGUGAGCAACCUGCCCUUCAGAGGGGGACAACAGUUGGAAACGACUGCUAAUACCGCAUGACGUGUUCGGAAGGCAUCUUCUGGAUACCAAAGGAGAAAUCCGCUGAAGGAUGGGCUCACGUCUGAUUAGCUAGUUGGUGGGGUAACGGCUCACCAAGGCGACGAUCAGUAGCCGGACUGAGAGGUUGAACGGCCACAUUGGGACUGAGAUACGGCCCAGACUCCUACGGGAGGCAGCAGUGGGGAAUAUUGGGCAAUGGGCGAAAGCCUGACCCAGCAACGCCGCGUGAAGGAAGAAGGCCUUCGGGUUGUAAACUUCUUUUAACAGGGACGAAGAAGUGACGGUACCUGUUGAAUAAGCCACGGCUAACUACGUGCCAGCAGCCGCGGUAAUACGUAGGUGGCGAGCGUUAUCCGGAUUUACUGGGUGUAAAGGGCGCGUAGGCGGGAAUGCAAGUCAGGUGUGUAAUCUACAGGCUCAACCUGUAAACUGCACUUGAAACUGCGUUUCUUGAGUGUCGGAGAGGUUGACGGAAUUCCUAGUGUAGCGGUGAAAUGCGUAGAUAUUAGGAGGAACACCAGUGGCGAAGGCGGUCAACUGGACGAUAACUGACGCUGAGGCGCGAAAGCGUGGGGAGCAAACAGGAUUAGAUACCCUGGUAGUCCCCU
Molecule: ribosomal RNA, 798 nt
Filed under: uncultured Bacillota bacterium
Lineage: Bacteria; Bacillati; Bacillota
Description: bacterial SSU rRNA
Rfam family: Bacterial small subunit ribosomal RNA
Source: RNAcentral